AUUGCUUCGCAGCCUUUUGGCUAAGAUCAAGUGUAGUAUCUGUUAUUAUCAGUUUAAUAUCUGAUAUGUCUUCUAUCCAAGGACAACAUGAUAAAUGGAGUUUUGAAAGUAGGAGUUGGAGUAGGAGCUUGCUCUCUCCACUGCACACAUCGACCUGGUAUUGCAGUGCCUCCAGGAACAGUGAACCCCCU
Molecule: small nuclear RNA, 191 nt
Organism: Acomys russatus (golden spiny mouse)
Lineage: Eukaryota; Metazoa; Chordata; Mammalia; Rodentia; Muridae
Product: U2 spliceosomal RNA
Exons: 1
Source: RefSeq, a predicted model, not a curated record